AGAUACAUGCAUUAGUGGAUGUUGGAUGCCAGACUGACCCACUGGACAGGCGUACUGUAGGCACACAACUAUCCUUUAGGACUCUAAAGGCCCACUACAGAAGUAUCGGUGUACAGGCUACUGUGUCCUGCAUAGAUUUUGGUGUUGGGACCUCCACUGCAGACCCCAUCUUUUUUCAUCCACACCUGUGAGGAGACCUUCAAAAAGACCUCGUUUUGCCCUUGAGGAAGAGCUGGAGCGGGAUGACGAUCCAUUUGAGGGGAGCUCUUCAAUGGCAGCCUCAAAGGGGCUAGAUUCCACUUACGAGCCUGGUGAUUCUGCCACAUUAACAGAGCCUCCAGAUUUGUUGGAAGAAAGCCAGAUGCCUGUCCAAAACAUAAAAAAAUACAUAGUAUAUGAGAGCUGUAUCAUGGAGCUGUUUGCAGUGUGUCCUGUCUGCACGCGUGCAUGUGAGGUCAGGACACGAAAACUGGGAACAUUCCUGUCUGUGGAGCA
Molecule: long non-coding RNA, 495 nt
Organism: Melanotaenia boesemani (Boeseman's rainbowfish)
Lineage: Eukaryota; Metazoa; Chordata; Actinopteri; Atheriniformes; Melanotaeniidae
Exons: 3
Source: RefSeq, a predicted model, not a curated record